This 773-nucleotide non-coding RNA is filed under the name Calinaga buddha. Lineage: Eukaryota; Metazoa; Arthropoda; Insecta; Lepidoptera; Nymphalidae. The record is from RNAcentral.
UAAAAAAUUAUGUUUUUGAAAAUUUAUUAUACAUUUAUUUUACAUAUAAAUUUUAGUGUAAAAUUUUAAUUAUUUUAAAAAUAAUUAAAUUAUUUUAAUAGUAAUUAAAAUUAAAAAUUUAAGAAAUUAAGAUUUAGUAAUAUGAAAAUUAAUAACUAAUUUUGUGCCAGCAGUUGCGGUUAAACAAAGAUUAAAUUAAAUUAUUUCAGUAUAUAAUUAAUAAAUAAUAAAAUUAAAAUAAAUAUUAAAUUAUUAAGUGAAAUUUUAAUUUAGUUAAAUUUUUUAUAUAAAUUUAUGAUUUAUUAAAUUUUAAUAUAAACUAGGAUUAGAUACCCUAUUAUUAAAAAUUUAAUUUAUAAUACUAAAAUAGUAAAUAAUAAAUAUUGAAACUUAAAUAAAAUGGCGGUAUUUUAGUUCAUUUAGAGGAAUCUGUCUAAUAAUUGAUAGUCCACGAAUAAAUUUACUUAAUUUAAAAUUUUAUAUAUCGUUGUUAAAAAAAUAUUUUUAAAUAAAAAUAAUAUUUUAAAAUUAAAAUAAAAAAUUAAUUCAGAUCAAGAUGUAGAAUAUAAUUAAGAAUAUGAUGGAUUACAAUAAAUUUAUUUAAAUGAAUAAUAAAUUGAAAAAUAAAUUUAAAAGUGGAUUUAAAUGUAAUUUUAUUUAAUUUAAUAAAAUGAUUAAAAAUUAAGAUAUGUACAUAUUGCCCGUCACUUUCAUUUAGAAAUUGAAAUAAGUCGUAACAAAGUAGAGGUACUGGAAAGUGUCUCUAGAAUAAA